AUUCAACUUACGAGUCCCAAACAAGACGAAACGCGCGUCCUGCUU
Molecule: non-coding RNA, 45 nt
Organism: Schistosoma margrebowiei
Lineage: Eukaryota; Metazoa; Platyhelminthes; Trematoda; Strigeidida; Schistosomatidae
Source: Rfam